CUGUAAUUUCACUGGAAAUGUGUACGAAUGCAGGAUGAGAAUGGGACUGAUAUUUAAUGUUUAAAUCCCGGCACUCAAUUUGAUUUACCGUUUCUAUUAAUUACUGGAUACAGUAUUCGUAUUUAUUAUGAUGAAUGCCCCCUUACUUUUACUUGAUGCAGUGUCUGUAUUACUGAAACGUCCAUCCAAUGCAUUACUGUGUAAUUAAUCACUGAU
Pelobates cultripes (western spadefoot toad) is the source of this 216-nucleotide non-coding RNA. Lineage: Eukaryota; Metazoa; Chordata; Amphibia; Anura; Pelobatidae. The record is from the annotation of a GenBank genome assembly.